Phragmites australis (common reed) is the source of this 6597-nucleotide long non-coding RNA. RefSeq lists it as uncharacterized. The transcript is spliced from 3 exons. The record is from RefSeq and is a predicted model, not a curated record. NCBI's taxonomy places the organism in Eukaryota, Viridiplantae, Streptophyta, Magnoliopsida, Poales, Poaceae.
UCUCUUUUUAAUUCGGCAUGUACCUCCCCCAGGUCUGUCCAAGCUGUCCCGCAAGAAUGGCAAUGGCAAACUGAGAUAAACCCAGGCCAUCAGGUUAAUGAAACCACUUUGGGGAUGCUAGCUACUACCGUUCUAUGAACUGUUGCUGAUUGGAACUGGCAGGGGCACGGUACUACUGCCAGUACUACUUGAACCUUGCGAGAUUUCAGCACUGGGAGGUACGGCCAUCCAUCUCCUCCGCUCCAAUCCAAGAACCAACGUCAAGAAACAGAGAGGAGAGAGACAUAGGUAGCCGUUUCUCUCACCACCCCUCCUUCCAAUUCCGGUACGGCGAGUGCUCACCGGAUCCAAGAAGAACAGAGCCCCUCCUCUUUCUGGUUCUUCACUCUUGUGUUUCGAGGGUUUGUUUGGUUUUUUCCUCUUGAAUUUUCUGAUUUGGAACUUCUUCGUCGAUUUCCAAAGAUAUUUGGCUGAUUAUGUGGCAAUUUUCAAAGUAAGUGCUUUCUGAUGUGGAGAAGCUCUUGAGAGAUUGACAGAAGAGAGUGAGCACACGGCGAGAUGAACGGUAUAAGGUAUAUGCCAUCCUCGUCGUGUGCUCACUCCUCUUUUUGUCAAUCUCUUUCUCUCGAGGGUUUACCUCCUAUUUAGAUCCGCUACUAGAGGUGUAAAACUGUUUGAGUUUGAUUUGAUUCAAAUACAAUUCAGCCGAUCUGAUCUAGACUUUUUCCUUAUAAGAUAUGUUAUAUACAUUAAGUUGUUAUGAGAAACUCAAUCACAAGAGACAGCACUCAUAUCUACAGUACUAUGACUUUUCUUCUACUUUAAACUACCACUUUUUUAUCUCUUCCAUGUUCAUACACAUGGUUUUUCCUCCUUUUCUUCUGACCUUCCAGUCAAAGUUGUCGUGGGAACUACUGCCGAGGCCAGUGAUACGGAUGCUGAUGGUAAUGUAGUACUCGUCUCGCCUUGGGAGCUGAAUUAUGGAGAUGCUGCCAGUACACUGCAAUACUGCGAGGAUAAAUCAGCGGAAUAAACUACACCCGCCCUUUCUGUCUCUACAAGUCCUCUCUGCUUUCGUGCUUUCUUGUUCCUUUUAGGUUCUUAGGCAUGCAGGUUGUUUGGCCAUGGUGGUGGGGUUGAUCAAGUUCUUGUUGGCUCAAUGUUGGCUCAAAAAUGGAGCAUGGAGGAGGCUAACAGAUGAGUUAUAUUUGGCAAGGAAGGCACCCUCAGUUUGCUUUUGCCAGAUCUCGUUUGCACUAGGACAAGUGCAUCAUGAUAAACCAGCUACUACACCGUUAAUAUCCUCAUAACCAAGGUAUCUCCAUGAUCUUAGGCUCCUUUGGUUACUUACCUCGGCGUUCCUUCUGAGUGAACUGCUGCCACCUUUGCUGUCUUGUCUGUCGGAUGCUUUUUUGGCUAGUGCUUGCACUUGGAUAACCUUUUUUUUGUUUGCCGUGAGAUGCAUGGUGUGGUAAUGGCUAGGAAGUUGAUGGAUGACAACGAGGAUUAUCUAAAUGAAAGAUAAAUACAUUUUAUAUUGCAUCCAUUGUUUGAUGUGUACUAGGUUAACUGAACCUGCUGUCGACCAUAUAUUCAGAAUAGCUUCUUUUCUUGAAGAGACAGGCGCAAAGCAUUGAAAAGAAGUGUUGGUUUCUAUCUAUCUGAAUUGCAUCGAGUAGUAAACUACCUAGAAGCAGAGCUAGAGUAAUUUGUGUGGAGGAAUGAGAGACACGUAGUAAAGCUAUUCUCUAGCAGGAUCAUGUGGUUCAAGUUGAUGGAUGCUUUAGAAAAGUUACUAGUCGACGCAUGUAGAUCCUUCCGGGAUAGGAGAUAAUUCUUUCUACUCAUUGACUUCUAAACAUUAAAUUCUUGCUGAGUUUUUAGUGGUGAUCAUUUUUCCACGGCUAACUCCAUGUUUUAGAAAUGUUGAUGGAUAAUAGAUGUGAUCAUCAUAGUGCUCUUUCACCACCAUCAGCACUUCUUUUUACAUAUCACCUUUUUGUAUUUACCUCUUUAUUUUAAUUAACGAGUUUAGUAUAUAUGUUUCACUUUAAUUUUAGUUUGGGUUCAAAUAGAAAGGGACCGUUUUAGACAUUCUUUUUACGAGAACCAUUUAAUUUAGACAUUCUUGAUGUCCUUUUAGACCAGUCCGUGUAUUAUUUUGUUUAUACACACAGCUGCAUGGUGUUCACAAUUUUUGACCUUGUUCUCUUCCUAAUCCCUUUGUAUUGUUCAUAUUGAUAUGUUCGUAUGUAGAAGCAUAUGAUAGCAUUACAUAUGUGCAAAGGCAUGUUUGCCCAGUUCAAAUAAAAUCUACACACACCAUAGAGGAAGUUGUGGUCUAAUUUGAUUUAGUAAAAUUAAUUUCGUCUAGAGUCGCAUUGAAAAUUUAUCUGCAUUAAUUAAAUUUAUGUAGACAUAUCUAGGCGCACAUUUCACUUGUACCGACACAAAUUUAAAAUUGGUAUAUAAGACAUAUCUUUAUGGUUUAACAAAUUAUUUUGUUUGGUUGCUUCAAGAAGGAAAAAGAUGUGCCGAAAGAAACCAUGUAAAAAUUAAAGAGAAUUCGACUAAGCAUUACAUGACGCAAAUAAUUCAUGAUGUACAUAUGCAUGAUUAUUUUUUACUUUCGAUGAAUGCAUGAUUAAUUUCUAUUGCUCACCUGUCAAAAUUCAGUGCAACUAUUUGAACUAUAUUUGCUUCCUUAUUAGCUGACUUGUAUAAUAUAUAUUCUAGGUACGUAUACUGCAAAUAAUUAUGUAAGAUAAAGCAAUUACUGUAAAUAUUUGCUUAUACCUCAACAUGUUCAGAAAGUGGCCCUGUGUGUUUAAUUUUUGUAUUGUUUGUGUGACUAAUGAUCUGCACACAAAUCAGCUGCACUCGACCACAUAUUAUCUAUAGGAAGAAGUAGGGCAUAUCUGCAAUGCAUUGCACUUCCCUAUUAAACCUAAGUAGGACAUGAAAUGAUCAGACAAUACGUGUCUCCCUGACGAAUCCUGAUCAACAUUAAUUAGCUAUCUGGUAGACCCAUGAUCUUCCGGGUCAUAUAUUGGUGCACGCACUGUGUGCAAAAUGGAACCACAAAUAACGUACAAAUAUAUAUGCGCAUUCAUAGAAGGAACAAGCUGCAGUGCAUUACUAGCAAGCUAGACACAUGCACAUUGACAAAUGUAUCCAUUCCAACUAACUUACUAUAUGAUUAUGCAACCAUUAAUAAUAUUUUUUGAUGGUUAUUUGUAUACCAAUGGUACGUAGUAUCUUCUUGCAUAUAUAUGUUCCACUGUUCGUCAUCUUCUAAAUUGUUGGCAAAUAUUUUUUAACUGAUUAAGUAGGAAUGUCACAAGAGAUUUGGAUUGUACUGUAAACACUGUUGGGUAUAUUGGAAAAAUACUAAAGAAAUAUAAUUAUCAUUGAACAUUGAUAGAGAAUCUAUCGGUGAAAGAUACAUAUUAGUUGUUUGCGUCCCUUCUAAGAAUAAAUCUUUUAAUUUCAUUAAUAUAUAUAGUGGAGUUUAUUUUGUUUCUGACAAUAGGAAUGUCAUAUUUAUUAGCCAGUACUUUAAAAUGUUACCACCUCUGAUUAUUAUAAAUAUAUAUAAUCGUUCUAAAAUAUUUCCGUGCUGAGCAUUAUAAUGACUAAACAUCAAUAUAAAAAAGAGAAACUCGGAUUAAUGCCAUUGCAAAUUAAGUUUGCUCGGCUGUGAGACAGUCAUAGCAGAAUAGCAUUUAUCCAGUUUUCCUGGCUGCAUGAAAUUCUCAACAUUACAAGAUUAUCUGUGAAAUAUACUUUGGUAAUAUAUGGCUUUUAUGAUAUGUUAGAAAUUAUAUAAUGAUAGAAAAAGUCCAUAUUUGGAAUUCUAAGUAGUUUUACAUUUUUUAUAUGUAAUUGAUGUGUUGUUCCUGCGUAAUUAGCAAACAUUGGGAGCAUGAUUCGAUCCUUCACUAGAUGUCACUGAGUUACUGUUGUCACCAGGCUAGAGGAUUUAAGUAGCAGUUUUCCUUUGGAAGGAGAUUAAAGAAAUUUAGUUAGAACCAUUUGAAGCAAAAGUCAUGUAAUCAUGCUAUUAAGAACGGAGCAAUAACAACUUGCGCAUGCAUGCAUGCUGUGCACAUUAAAUCAACUAAGUUUUUGUAAUAACGGCAUUUAUCUGUGCUUGGAUCGAACGAGUAUCUUAUUGGUAGUUAGCCCCAUUUGGAAGUGAUUGAACCUGGGAUAAACUCAAAACAUCUAUGUUGUGAUGAUCACAUAGCUGUUUAGGGUCUGUUUGGAAUGCAGGAAAUUCACAAGAAUCAGUUUAACUCGUAUAGGAAUUGUGAACAACUUACAUGUUCCAAUUGGUGCUUAUCAGCUAUAUCUUAAAAAUUGGUAUUUAACUAUCAUGAGAUCUAAGGGCAUUAAAUAUUUAGACUUCUUUUGAACAAAGGAUAAAUAGAGAAAAUUUAAUGGAAUUGAUCAUAUGGAGCUCUUCGGAAUAAUGGAAUGUCCGAAUGUGCCUGUAAAAGUCCUUUGGGAUUACUUGCUCCAUAGGAAUAUUGAGGAUUUCUAACUUGAGUUCCAACCCUGUGGAAAAAUCUAUUUGUGUCAUUCUCUCUUUUCUAAUUUCUAUAUGUUUGAGCCUCUAAAAUUCCAAUGGAAUGAGUUGCCCUAUCAGAAUAUUGAGGAAUUCUAACUUGAGACCAACCUCGUGAAAUAAUCUAAUAUUGUCAUUCUCUGCUCUCUAAUUUCUAUACUUUUCUUGUGUUUUAUGAUACUUAUUUUGCAUUUUACACUACUACUAAAUUCCUCUUUUUUUCUUACUAGCAGAAUGCCCGUACGAUACCACGGUUAAAACUAAAUUCUAUUACUUGCUUUGAAGACCAAUAUUUUUUUUUGUUUCAGCUAAUAUAUAUUGGUCUACUCCUUACAUAUCUACAUAUUCCAUUUUAGUCCGAACAUUUAUUUUGAGAACCCCCAAAAAAUACAACCAUACCUCCGGUCCAUAAUCUUUAUCGUUUGAUACCAAUGAGUCAUCGAAUGAGGUAUUAUUCACCUGUAGCAAAUUGACUCUACCAUUUGGAGACGGAUAAUUCAGAGUUGCUAUUAACCUCACGUAAGUGUGAACCAUAGCAAUGUCACUUUAAGCGUUCAGUUAAGCAUGACUAAAAACAGUACACAUUCACUAUAUAAUUUCACACGUGGCAUAUGUUACAUGUAACCACGCAGAGACACAAGUUACAAAUUAUUAUUUUAAAUUCCCCCUAAACAUGGCCUGUGCAUAUUCGAAUCCCUAGGGAUGGAGGGUGUGCACUAUUAUUUCCUUUUUUUUAACUGCAAUACAACAAUAUUAACAGCAGAGGCUCCUAAUUUUUAGGGUAUUUUGGAAGGCAAGGAUGCAAAAUAAAGGAAUGAGAAAAGUAGAGCAAAGACAUAGGAAUGUAAUGCAAAAAUAGAUGAUUUAAAAGGACCGAAAAUAUUUAUAAGAAGAGGUGCCUGCAACAAAGGAAUGGAAACAUAUAACCUUUCUGAGAGAAAGGAACGGAAAUAUAUAAUUUCCAUUUCAACUAACUGACAAUGGCCCCAAAAUACAUGGUCAUCACAUCUAGGCCUAUCAGAGAACCUAGAUUCUUCCAUUGAGCCACUGACCGAUGGGCCCAAUAAACCGAAGGUCUCACCGAUCAGAAAUCCUCUCAUCUUAUCCCUUCUCUCUCGUUCUUAUCCUUUCACUGUUCUCUAUAGUUCUCUCUCGCUCUAUGCUCAUCUUCUCUCCUGGUCUCUCUCUCUCCCUCCUGUUGAAGCGAGAUACGUUGGACACAGUUCGAGGCAUCACCAUGGCGGGGGUUCAAGUCGAUCUGAUUUCGCCCCUCCCGGAGUGCAUCCACCUAUGGAGUGUGCAAUGCCUCAAUCUAGUCCAUAGCUGUGGUGAGCUUUCGUCCAUGGUGGCGGUGGCACACCACUUGCAGGAGAGCAAACUUUUCUCCCCCCCCCCCCCCCUCUCUCUUCCACACAUAGCUUUCCUUGGCCUCCGCGAAUGGAUUUUUUAUUUCCUGUGUUUUGGGAGGAAAGGAACCCUUUCAUGUGGAAUUGGAAGGUGCAAUUGCUUCGUUUUGCCUACAUUCAAAACGACCCUUGAGUGGAUUUUUCCGUUCCUAUGAAAUCUCACAAGGUAACAUUAGUUAAAAAUAGGAAUCAUAUCGACCUUUCUUCAUUCCAAACGGCAAAAUGAGGCCAUUCCGCAGGGCGAUGGGGCUCUUGGAGGCGAUUGCUUGCACAUGCGACGGGAUCUAGGAGGCGGCGGUGCAACUCGCAUGCUUGGUGGGGGUGGAAGGAUGGGGAGCCGAUCCACGGGAGGCGUUGAGUGAUGGAGCGAGGCGAGGAAACACAUAUUUGGUAUGGGCCCACCUAUCAGCAUGAGCUAUCUCUGAGCAAGGGAGGUGGGGUGGUGACGGAUAACCACCAUCACCGUCACCAACUCAUAAUUUUGAAGUAGUGAAGACUUUAUCUCUUUUUAGCCGGUUCUUAUCUUUCAAAUUGGAUCUUACCGUGUGAUGAUAACUACCCUGCAGAGCCCUUGACAUUUGGUUAGUCACCACUCUAGAUCAAUGCUAUUACAAAGAUAAA